UACGUAGGGUGCAAGCGUUGUCCGGAAUUAUUGGGCGUAAAGAGCUCGUAGGCGGUCUGUCGCGUCGGCUGUGAAAACUCGGGGCUCAACCCCGAGCCUGCAGUCGAUACUGUGCGACUAGAGUGCGGAAGGGGCAACUGGAAUUCUCGGUGUAGCGGUGAAAUGCGUAGAUAUCGAGAGGAACACCUGCGGCGAAGGCGGGUUGCUGGGCCGACACUGACGCUGAUGCGCGAAAGCCAGGGGAGCGAACGGG
Molecule: ribosomal RNA, 253 nt
Filed under: uncultured bacterium
Lineage: Bacteria
Description: partial 16S ribosomal RNA
Rfam family: Bacterial small subunit ribosomal RNA
Source: RNAcentral